CACACGCGAGACAUUUGCGCCAUGCGGAUGAAAAGCCCCGCAUCGUGCUCCGGUGGAGAAAUGAUAAGCCCAUAAAAAGGCUUGCAAAUCUCUUCUCAAGUCUCGCGGAGGUCUAACCGGAAAAGGAAACGU
RNAcentral lists this small RNA (132 nucleotides) under Hyphomicrobium sp. MC1. RNAcentral's name for it is "rpsB sRNA". It matches the Rfam family "rpsB sRNA". Lineage: Bacteria; Pseudomonadati; Pseudomonadota; Alphaproteobacteria; Hyphomicrobiales; Hyphomicrobiaceae. The record is from Rfam by way of RNAcentral.